UACGGAGGGUGCAAGCGUUGUUCGGAAUUACUGGGCGUAAAGGGCUCGUAGGCGGCCAACUAAGUCGGACGUGAAAUCCCCAGGCUCAACCUGGGAACUGCGUCCGAUACUGAUUGGCUUGAAUCCGGGAGAGGGAUGCAGAAUUCCGGGUGUAGCGGUGAAAUGCGUAGAUAUCUGGAGGAAUACCGGUGGCGAAGGCGGCAUCCUGGACCGGCAUUGACGCUGAUGAGCGAAAGCUAGGGGAGCAAACAGG
This 253-nucleotide ribosomal RNA is filed under the name uncultured bacterium. RNAcentral describes it as "partial 16S ribosomal RNA". It matches the Rfam family "Bacterial small subunit ribosomal RNA", at positions 524 to 776 of the family's 1533-position model. The record is from RNAcentral.